Molecule: ribosomal RNA, 305 nt
Filed under: uncultured bacterium
Lineage: Bacteria
Description: bacterial SSU rRNA
Rfam family: Bacterial small subunit ribosomal RNA
Source: RNAcentral
UGGACCCUACGGGGGGCAGCAGUGGAGGAUAUUGCACAAUGGGGGAAACCCUGAUGCAGCGACGCCGCGUGAGUGAAGAAGUAUUUCGGUACGUAAAGCUCUAUCAGCAGGGAAGAAUAAUGACGGUAACUGACUAAGAAGCCCCGGCUAACUACGUGCCAGCAGCCGCGGUAAUACGUAGGGGGCAAGCGUUAUCCGGAUUUACUGGGUGUAAAGGGAGCGUAGGCGGCUGUGUAAGCCAGAAGUGAAAGCCCGAGGCUCAACCACGGGACUGCUUUUGGAACUACAUGGCUUGAUUGCAGGAG